RNAcentral lists this ribosomal RNA (909 nucleotides) under uncultured bacterium. RNAcentral's name for it is "bacterial SSU rRNA". It matches the Rfam family "Bacterial small subunit ribosomal RNA", at positions 30 to 916 of the family's 1533-position model. The record is from RNAcentral.
CGACAUGCGAGGCUGUAGGUCUAACACAUGCAGUCGAGCGGAAACGAGCUAUCUGACCCUUCGGGUGACGAUAACGGCGUCGAGCGGCGGACGGGUGAGUAAUGCCUGGGAAAUUGCCCUGAUGUGGGGGAUAACCAUUGGAAACGAUGGCUAAUACCGCAUAAUAGCUUCGGCUCAAAGAGGGGGACCUUCGGGCCUCUCGCGUCAGGAUAUGCCCAGGUGGGAUUAGCUAGUUGGUGAGGUAAGGGCUCACCAAGGCGACGAUCCCUAGCUGGUCUGAGAGGAUGAUCAGCCACACUGGAACUGAGACACGGUCCAGACUCCUACGGGAGGCAGCAGUGGGGAAUAUUGCACAAUGGGCGCAAGCCUGAUGCAGCCAUGCCGCGUGUAUGAAGAAGGCCUUCGGGUUGUAAAGUACUUUCAGCAGUGAGGAAGGUAGUAGUGUUAAUAGCGCUAUUAUUUGACGUUAGCUGCAGAAGAAGCACCGGCUAACUCCGUGCCAGCAGCCGCGGUAAUACGGAGGGUGCGAGCGUUAAUCGGAAUUACUGGGCGUAAAGCGCAUGCAGGUGGAUGAUUAAGUCAGAUGUGAAAGCCCGGGGCUCAACCUCGGAAUAGCAUUUGAAACUGGUUAUCUAGAGUACUGUAGAGGGGGGUAGAACUUCAGGUGUAGCGGUGAAAUGCGUAGAGAUCUGAAGGAAUACCGGUGGCGAAGGCGGCCCCCUGGACAGAUACUGACACUCAGAUGCGAAAGCGUGGGGAGCAAACAGGAUUAGAUACCCUGGUAGUCCACGCCGUAAACGAUGUCUACUUGGAGGUUGUGGCCUUGAGCCGUGGCUUUCGGAGCUAACGCGUUAAGUAGACCGCCUGGGGAGUACGGUCGCAAGAUUAAAACUCAAAUGAAUUUGACGG